CCUAUGCUGCCGAGAAAAGCCUCUAGUGAGUUCAUACACGGCCCGUACCCCAAACCGACACAGGUGAUCAGGUAGAGAAUACCAAGGCGAUCGAGAGAACUGUGGUUAAGGAACUCGGCAAAAUGCCCCCGUAACUUCGGGAGAAGGGGGACCAUGCCCGGUGAACAUCUUCACGGUGGGAGCUGGGUGUGGUCGCAGAGACCAGAGAGAAGCGACUGUUUACUAAAAACACAGGUCCGUGCGAAGACGUAAGUCGAUGUAUACGGACUGACGCCUGCCCGGUGCUGGAAGGUUAAGAGGACCGGUUAGCCGUAAGGCGAAGCUGAGAAUUUAAGCCCCAGUAAACGGCGGUGGUAACUAUAACCAUCCUAAGGUAGCGAAAUUCCUUGUCGGGUAAGUUCCGACCUGCACGAAUGGCGUAACGACUUCUCUGCUGUCUCGACCACAGACUCGGCGAAAUUGCACUACGAGUAAAGAUGCUCGUUACGCGCGGCAGGACGAAAAGACCCCGGGACCUUUACUAUAGCUUGGUAUUGGCGUUCGAUUCGGUUUGUGUAGGAUAGGUGGGAGACUGUGAAGCAUGCACGCCAGUGUGUGUGGAGUCGUUGUUGAAAUACCACUCUGAUCGUAUUGGACGUCUAACCUCGGCCCAUGAUCUGGGUUAGGGACAGUGCCUGGUGGGUAGUUUAACUGGGGCGGUUGCCUCCUAAAGAGUAACGGAGGCGCCCAAAGGUUCCCUCAGCCUGGAUGGCAAUCAGGUGUUGAGUGCAAGUGCACAAGGGAGCUUGACUGUGAGACUGACACGUCGAGCAGGGACGAAAGUCGGGACUAGUGAUCCGGCACCGGCAAGUGGAAGCGGUGUCGCUCAACGGAUAAAAGGUACCCCGGGGAUAACAGGCUGAUCUUCCCCAAGAGUCCAUAUCGACGGGAUGGUUUGGCACCUCGAUGUCGGCUCGUCGCAUCCUGGGGCUGGAGUAGGUCCCAAGGGUCGGGCUGUUCGCCCAUUAAAGCGGCACGCGAGCUGGGUUUAGAACGUCGUGAGACAGUUCGGUCUCUAUCCGCCGCGCGCGUAAGAAACUUGAGGAAGGCUGUCCCUAGUACGAGAGGACCGGGACGGACGAACCUCUGGUGUGCCAGUUGUUCCACCAGGAGCAUGGCUGGUUAGCUACGUUCGGAAGGGAUAACCGCUGAAAGCAUCUAAGCGGGAAGCCUGUUCCAAGAUGAGGUUUCUCACCACCUUGCGUGGUUAAGGCCCCCUACAGACCAUGGGGUUGAUAGGCCGGAACUGGAAGCGCAGCAAUGCGUGGAGGUGACCGGUACUAAUAGGCCGAGGGC
RNAcentral lists this ribosomal RNA (1335 nucleotides) under metagenome. RNAcentral describes it as "bacterial LSU rRNA". It matches the Rfam family "Bacterial large subunit ribosomal RNA", at positions 1599 to 2912 of the family's 2925-position model. The record is from RNAcentral.